Molecule: ribosomal RNA, 208 nt
Filed under: uncultured bacterium
Lineage: Bacteria
Description: partial 16S ribosomal RNA
Rfam family: Bacterial small subunit ribosomal RNA
Source: RNAcentral
GACGAACGCUGGCGGCGUGCUUAACACAUGCAAGUCGAGCGGUAAGGACCCUUUCGGGGGUACGACGAGCGGCGAACGGGUGAGUAACACGUGGGUGACCUGCCUUUAGCUCUGGGAUAAGCCUGGGAAACUGGGUCUAAUACCGGAUAUGACUCCGCGGUGCAUGCUAGUGGGGUGGAAAGUCCUUGUGCGGCUGGAGAUGGGCCCG